RNAcentral lists this ribosomal RNA (1047 nucleotides) under Triticum aestivum (bread wheat). RNAcentral describes it as "partial small subunit ribosomal RNA". Lineage: Eukaryota; Viridiplantae; Streptophyta; Magnoliopsida; Poales; Poaceae. The record is from RNAcentral.
AUGGGCGGCCUCUCCAUGGACCAGGCCUUCGUGCAGGCCCCCGAGCAUCGCACCAAGGCGAACCUCGCCGACGCGGCCGGCAUCCCGGUCAUCGACCUCUCCCCUCUCGCCGCCGGCGACAAGGCCGGCCUGGACGCCCUCGCGGCCGAGGUGGGCAGGGCGAGCCGUGACUGGGGGUUCUUCGUGGUGGUGCGCCACGGCGUGCCGGCGGAGACGGUGGCGCGGGCGCUGGAGGCGCAGAGGGCCUUCUUCGCGCUGCCCGCGGACCGGAAGGCGGCCGUGCGGAGGGACGAGGCGGCGCCGCUGGGGUACUACGAGUCGGAGCACACCAAGAACGUCAGGGACUGGAAGGAGGUGUUCGACCUCGUCCCCCGCGAGCCGCCGCCGCCUGCCGCGGUUGCCGACGGCGAGCUCAUGUUCGAGAACAAGUGGCCCGAGGACCUGCCGGGGUUCAGAGAGGCUCUCGAAGAGUACGAGAAAGCGAUGGAGGAGCUGGCGUUCAAGCUGCUGGAGCUGAUCGCCCGGAGCCUGGGACUGAGACCGGACCGGCUGCACGGCUUCUUCAAGGACCAGACCACCUUCAUCCGGCUGAACCACUACCCGCCCUGCCCCAGCCCCGACCUCGCCCUCGGCGUCGGUCGCCACAAGGACGCCGGCGCGCUCACCAUCCUCUACCAGGACGACGUCGGCGGGCUCGACGUCCGGCGCCGCUCCGACGGCGAGUGGGUGCGCGUCAGGCCUGUCCCGGACUCCUACGUCAUCAACGUCGGCGACAUCAUCCAGGUGUGGAGCAACGACAGGUACGAGAGCGCGGAGCACAGGGUGUCGGUGAACUCGCACAAGGAGAGGUUCUCCAUGCCCUACUUCUUCGACCCCGGGAGCGACGCCAUGAUCGAGCCGUUGGAGGAGAUGGUGAGCGACGAAAGGCCGGCCAGGUACGACGCCUACAACUGGGGCAACUUCUUCAGCACCAGGAAGAACAGCAACUUCAGGAAGCUCGCCGUCGAAAACGUCCAGAUCGCACACUUCAGAAAGGACCGACCUUAA